RNAcentral lists this ribosomal RNA (472 nucleotides) under uncultured bacterium. RNAcentral's name for it is "partial 16S ribosomal RNA". It matches the Rfam family "Bacterial small subunit ribosomal RNA", at positions 28 to 507 of the family's 1533-position model. The record is from RNAcentral.
GAUGAACGCUGGCGGCGUGCCUAAUACAUGCAAGUCGAGCGAACAGACGAGGAGCUUGCUCCUCUGACGUUAGCGGCCGACGGGUGAGUAACACGUGGAUAACAUACCUAUAAGACUGGGAUAACUUCGCGAAACCGUAGCUAAUACCGGAUAAUAUAUUGAACCGCAUGGUUCAAUAGUGAAAGUCGGUAGUUCGUUCACUUAUAGAGGGAUCCGCGUCGCAUUAGCUGGUUGUUAGGGUAACAGCUUACCAAGGCGACGAUGCAUAGCCGGCCUGGGAGAAUGGUCAGACACACUGGGACUGAGACGCGGCACAGAAUCCUACGGGAGGCAGCAGUGGGGAAUAUUGGACAAUGGGCGAAAGCCUGAUGCAGCAAUGCCGGGUGAGUGAUGAAGGCCGUAGGGUUGUAAAGCUCUUUUACCCGGGAUGAUAAUGACAGUACCGGGAGAAUAAGCUCCGGCUAACUACGUG